Molecule: ribosomal RNA, 407 nt
Filed under: Variovorax paradoxus
Lineage: Bacteria; Pseudomonadati; Pseudomonadota; Betaproteobacteria; Burkholderiales; Comamonadaceae
Also listed under: 1 other name
Description: partial 16S ribosomal RNA
Rfam family: Bacterial small subunit ribosomal RNA
Source: RNAcentral
UGGGGAAUAUUGCACAAUGGGCGCAAGCCUGAUGCAGCAACGCCGCGUGAGGGACGACGGCCUUCGGGUUGUAAACCUCUUUUAGUAGGGAAGAAGCGAAAGUGACGGUACCUGCAGAAAAAGCACCGGCUAACUACGUGCCAGCAGCCGCGGUAAUACGUAGGGUGCAAGCGUUAUCCGGAAUUAUUGGGCGUAAAGAGCUCGUAGGCGGUUUGUCACGUCUGCUGUGAAAACUGGAGGCUCAACCUCCAGCCUGCAGUGGGUACGGGCAGACUAGAGUGCGGUAGGGGAGAUUGGAAUUCCUGGUGUAGCGGUGGAAUGCGCAGAUAUCAGGAGGAACACCGAUGGCGAAGGCAGAUCUCUGGGCCGUAACUGACGCUGAGGAGCGAAAGCAUGGGGAGCGAACA